This is a long non-coding RNA of Mauremys reevesii (Reeves's turtle), 1866 nucleotides long. RefSeq lists it as uncharacterized. The record is from RefSeq and is a predicted model, not a curated record. Lineage: Eukaryota; Metazoa; Chordata; Testudines; Geoemydidae. The transcript is spliced from 6 exons.
UGUAGAGGGAGAAGGGCCUGGCUUCAGGGAGCUAGACAAGAGAAGAAAAUGAAGGCUUGACACAUGAAUUAGCCAUUUACGACACAUUUAUGGAAGGAAAGAGCAGUUGGUGCUUCCACCAUUUCAUUCUGAGAGAUUUUUGCCACCUACCAUCAGUAGAGAACCCACUGAUUCCAAUGGGACUUCUUACGGAGAAAGAUAUUACACUCUGUGCUCCAGUCGUUUCCCAGCCUUGGUCCAGCCCUACUCUAGUCUGCUCCAACCAUGCUCCCCUGCUCUGUUUCUGACUCCUGGAUCUGGAGUCUGGCUCCAACUAUUAGGCUGGAUCACCACUGCUACGACCACUAGGAGUGACCACCCAUAACCUGAUGAGUGACAGUUUGAGCAGCCUACUAAAAAAAGGAGAUCAGGAUCUUCAUAACCAGCAUGUGCACUGCAUCUUAGAAAAACUCAAGGAAAACCACCUCUGUGUGAAGCUUGAGAAAUGUCAGUUGACUGCAAUCUAAUGUAUCUGUUGUCAGCUGUUCCACGACCCCUUGGUGACCCAGAUCCAUCAGACCCUGGAUAACAUAGAUGCCCAAUCUGGCUCCAAAUUCAGGCUGCAAGAUGGCCUCCUCUAUGACAAGGACUGUAUUUAUGUUCUGGAGGAUCAAGCUAGACUCCAGGUCCUGAAACUGUCAUGGCAUGCCAGUUGAUGGUCACUUUGGCCAACCCAAGAUGUAGGGCCUGAUAUUGCAGUUUCUGGUGGCUUGGUCCACAUGCAUGCACCAAAGAAUAUGCAAGGCUCUGACAUUUGCUCCCAAACCUUGAAACCACUCAGCCUUCUCCAGCCUUUGCCCAUUUCCCCACCAACCCUGGCCUAUUGUAUCUAUAGACUCUGUUGUGGAGCUGCCUCAAUCUCAAGGGCACAAAUAUCUUCCCCUACAUGGGUUACCAACUGGCAUCAUGCUGGACUGUGGCCCCAGUUUGUCUCCAGUUUUUGACAGGAAUUUCAACGGCUUCUCAGCAUAAAGUCUCUCACCUUGUUUGCCUACCACCUGCAGACCAAUACGCAAACAGAACAAGUCAACUAGAUUCUAGAACAGUAUCUUCAUUGUUGCUUGAAUUACCCCCAGGACAACUGUUUUCUCUGCUUCACUAUGCAGAAUUCACCUUUAAUAAUGCAAUCCAUGCCUCAACAUAACAAAGCUCAUUCUGUGACUGUUUUCAUUCUCAAUUCCAUCAUGACAUACCCAUGAACUCCCCAGUGCCACAAGCUGCAGCUUGGGCUGCCCACCUACACCAAAAGCCCCAGGAGCAAUUGAUAUCCAUAAAUGAAACUUACAAACACCAUGCUGACCAAGGCUGUCGGACCUCUCUCAUCCCUAUUGACCCAGAACCUCAAGUUGGUCCACUUAUCAGCCAGACUCGAUCAUUAGUACUUGUGCCCAUUCAAGAUCUUGGAAGAGGUCAAUCCUGUAGCCUUCAAGCUACAAAUACCUGCUUCACUCAAGAUGCAUCCAGUAUUUCACAUUUCCCACCUUAAGCUAUGUACUGAACAUCCGUUCCCAAAUCACUCCAGCCCACCACCACUGCCCACAACCGUUAGGGAGCAAGAAUAAAUUAAUCUGGCAAAUCUUUAAAUCCUGGUGAACUGGAAGGGCUAUGAUCUGGAUGACUGAUCUUGGGAAAUUGCUGAAAACAUCCACACCACAGACCUACUACAGGAUUUCCACUGGGCUCACAGUCACUGGCUUCUAAUUUUCCCUUGGGGUGCUCUACCCUCACUCAGCCCCAGGCCCUGCCCCCACUCCACCUCUUCCCACCAUGCCUCUUUCAGCCUCCUCCCCUGAGUGCACCUUGUCACCACUCCUCCCCCACCCUCCC